RNAcentral lists this ribosomal RNA (1178 nucleotides) under Bacillus tequilensis. RNAcentral's name for it is "bacterial SSU rRNA". It matches the Rfam family "Bacterial small subunit ribosomal RNA", at positions 51 to 1212 of the family's 1533-position model. Lineage: Bacteria; Bacillati; Bacillota; Bacilli; Caryophanales; Bacillaceae. The record is from RNAcentral.
CUAUAAUGCAGUCGAGCGGACAGAUGGGAGCUUGCUCCCUGAUGUUAGCGGCGGACGGGUGCGUAUCACGUGGGUAACCUGCCUGUAAGACUGGGAUAACUCCGGCAAACCGGGGCUAAUACCGGAUGGUUGUUUGAACCGCAUGGUUCAAACAUAAAAGGUGGCUUCGGCUACCACUUACAGAUGGACCCGCGGCGCAUUAGCUAGUUGGUGAGGUAAUGGCUCACCAAGGCAACGAUGCGUAGCCGACCUGAGAGGGUGAUCGGCCACACUGGGACUGAGACACGGCCCAGACUCCUACGGGAGGCAGCAGUAGGGAAUCUUCCGCAAUGGACGAAAGUCUGACGGAGCAACGCCGCGUGAGUGAUGAAGGUUUUCGGAUCGUAAAGCUCUGUUGUUAGGGAAGAACAAGUACCGUUCGAAUAGGGCGGUACCUUGACGGUACCUAACCAGAAAGCCACGGCUAACUACGUGCCAGCAGCCGCGGUAAUACGUAGGUGGCAAGCGUUGUCCGGAAUUAUUGGGCGUAGAGGGCUCGCAGGCGGUUUCUUAAGUCUGAUGUGGAAGCCCCCGGCUCAGCCGGGGAGGGUCAUUGGAAACUGGGGAACUUGAGUGCAGAAGAGGAGAGUGGAAUUCCACGUGUAGCGGUGAAAUGCGUAGAGAUGUGGAGGAACACCAGUGGCGAAGGCGACUCUCUGGUCUGUAACUGGCGCUGAGGAGCGAAAGCGUGGGGAGCGAACAGGAUUAGAUACCCUGGUAGUCCACGCCGUAAACGAUGAGUGCUAAGUGUUAGGGGGUUUCCGCCCCUUAGUGCUGCAGCUAACGCAUUAAGCACUCCGCCUGGGGAGUACGGUCGCAAGACUGAAACUCAAAGGAAUUGACGGGGGCCCGCACAAGCGGUGGAGCAUGUGGUUUAAUUCGAAGCAACGCGAAGAACCUUACCAGGUCUUGACAUCCUCUGACAAUCCUAGAGAUAGGACGUCCCCUUCGGGGGCAGAGUGACAGGUGGUGCAUGGUUGUCGUCAGCUCGUGUCGUGAGAUGUUGGGUUAAGUCCCGCAACGAGCGCAACCCUUGAUCUUAGUUGCCAGCAUUCAGUUGGGCACUCUAAGGUGACUGCCGGUGACAAACCGGAGGAAGGUGGGGAUGACGUCAAAUCAUCAUGCCCCUUAUUACCUGG